Molecule: ribosomal RNA, 397 nt
Filed under: uncultured bacterium
Lineage: Bacteria
Description: bacterial SSU rRNA
Rfam family: Bacterial small subunit ribosomal RNA
Source: RNAcentral
UAUNGCACAAUGGGGGAAACCCUGAUGCAGCNACGCCGCGUGAGUGAAGAAGUAUUUCGGUAUGUAAAGCUCUAUCAGCAGGGAAGAAAAUGACGGUACCUGAGUACGCAGCCCCGGCUAACUACGUGCCCGCAGCCGCGGUAAUACGUAGUGGGCAAGCGUUAUCCGGAUUUACUGGGUGUAAAGGGAGCGUAGACGGCGAUGCAAGUCUGAAGUGAAAGCCCGGGGCUCAACCCCGGGACUGCUUUGGAAACUGUAUGGCUGGAGUGCUGGAGAGGCAAGCGGAAUUCCUAGUGUAGCGGUGAAAUGCGUAGAUAUUAGGAAGAACACCAGUGGCGAAGGCGGCUUGCUGGACAGUAACUGACGUUGAGGCUCGAAAGCGUGGGGAGCAAACAGG